UGAGCUCAAAUCAGGUAGGACUACCCGCUGAACUUAAGCAUAUCAAUAAGCGGAGGAAAAGAAACUAACAAGGAUUCCCCUAGUAACUGCGAGUGAAGCGGGAAAAGCUCAAAUUUAAAAUCUGGCGGCUUUGGUCGUCCGAGUUGUAUCCUAGAGAAGUGUUUUCCGCGUUGGACCGUGUAUAAGUCUCUUGGAACAGAGCGUCAUAGAGGGUGAGAAUCCCGUCUUUGACACGGACUACCAAUGCUUUGUGAUACACUCUCAAAGAGUCGAGUUGUUUGGGAAUGCAGCUCAAAAUGGGUGGUAAAUUCCAUCUAAAGCUAAAUAUUGGCGAGAGACCGAUAGCGAACAAGUACCGUGAGGGAAGGAUGAAAAGCACUUUGGAAAGAGAGUUAAACAGUACGUGAAAUUGCUGAAAGGGAAACGAUUGAAGUCAGUCGCGUUAGCUAGAACUCAACCAGGCUUGCUUGGCGUAUUUUCUAGUUAACGGGCCAGCAUCAGUUCUGACCGCAGGAAAAAGGCCAGAGAAAUGUGGCACCCUCGGGUGUGUUAUAGUCUUUGGUCAUAUACUGCGAUUGGGAUUGAGGUUCGCAGCACGCGCAAGCUGUGCUUAGGAUGCUGGCGUAAUGGCUUUAAACGACCCGUCUUGAAACACGGACCAA
RNAcentral lists this ribosomal RNA (662 nucleotides) under Lentinus cartilagineus. RNAcentral's name for it is "eukaryotic LSU rRNA". It matches the Rfam family "Eukaryotic large subunit ribosomal RNA", at positions 1 to 669 of the family's 3401-position model. Lineage: Eukaryota; Fungi; Basidiomycota; Agaricomycetes; Polyporales; Polyporaceae. The record is from RNAcentral.